UUCAAAGAGACCUUUUCGUUUUAUUUCCAAAAAUUUUCCUAAACUUAUAUGGCCCAAUCGUUCAUACCACAAUCGAUACUCAGCACUAUUUUGGGAUUCUAGACAAUCCAGCAAACACCAAUACGCCGUUUUUCGAAACUCUUAUGCCUUCAGGGUUGAACUCUAUGGUCGUCCCAGCAUCCUGCAUCUUUUUGACCGAGAGAUUAUGAGGAAUAUCCUUACAAUACAGUACGUUUUGUAGGGUGAUUUGGUUUCCAGAGCUGCCACAUUCGAUUGCAAACGCUCAUAGUCGGAGAAUAAAGCUGCGUCAUUUAUGAGAUGAUCCGAUGCUCCUGAGUCUAGCAUAAACUCAACCUCAUCCGUGCUCGGGCUUGAUGUUGCAUUUGUCAUCAUAAAAGCAAAACUACGCUCCGGCUGUGCUACCACUGCUGUUGUUGCUGCUGUUAUUGCUGCUGCCAUUUGAGCCUGCCUUUCCUUUCCACCACUUUCAAUUGAAUUGUGAAUUCCCUGUCUUUUAAAAAGGUAGUAGUCCUUCUUAAAAUGACCUGGUUUUCCGCAAAAAAAGCAUUUGGUUUUUGGCUUAACAAAGAGUUUGACUAGUUUCUUUCCAAAUUUCGCUUCUACUUUAUUGUUAAACUUACCUUUAAAUUUCUUUUUUGCCUAUUGCCUGCAGCACUUUGUGGCUAGUAUCCUUGUUCAAAUUCUUAAGCUUUAUCUCCUGAUCAAGAAGUCGUGUUUUUACAAAAGCUAAGGUUAGGUUACUUUCAGAUAAGGUCUCAAUCGCAUUUAUAACUCCAUCGUGACUGGGUGGAAGAGUGAGGAGUAGAUGGGAAACUUUAUCCAUCUCGUCUAGCUUUGCUUCUGAAGCGAAGUGAUAGUUGCGAUGCUAGGCUCUUUCUUUCGUAAAUGGCAUUUAAAUUAGCAAAGUCACUGCUAGCAAAAGCUAAAAAAGAAUCACUUAAAUACUCAAUGAUCAAGUUUUUUGCAGCUCUUUCAGCCUCUUUGUUUUCUUGUUCACUUCGAAAUUUAUCUCAUCAAUUACUUUCAACAGGUCAUGCUCCUCCAAAAGAGCUCUAACUCUGAACUUCCAAAAAGAGUACUUUUCACCAUCAAAUGGUUUUAUGUUCCUUUUACCCUUAUCCAUCGUUUUCGAAUACAGCAACGCUUCUUAGCAAACAACCUCUUAGCAACACAACAUAGUCUAGCAACACAGUCCAGCAACAAAAUCCAGCAAUACAGUUCAGCAACAAAGUCCAGCAACAUAGUUCAGCACCAAAAUCCAGCAACACAGUUCAGCAACAAAAAUCCAGCAAGAAGAGAACUUAUGGCGAAUUCAAAUCACGUGGCUUUUGGAAUCUUUAUGCAGCGAAUUCGUCUUGGCUUCUUCCUGGAAAUAUGUGAAAAAAUGUUAUGCUGCGAAUUGGUCGCAGCGUCAUAUAUUGUGAAAUCAAUAAGUUAUAUUUUGCAAUUUCUAUCACACAAUAAUCAAACACUUCCAGCAAUUAUAUUUCGUUGCUGACUGCAAACGUAGUACAUACAUAUGCAUGUGAAUGCAUGC
Long non-coding RNA from Drosophila nasuta, 1558 nucleotides. RefSeq lists it as uncharacterized. The transcript has 3 exons. NCBI's taxonomy places the organism in Eukaryota, Metazoa, Arthropoda, Insecta, Diptera, Drosophilidae. The record is from RefSeq and is a predicted model, not a curated record.